GAUGAACGCUGGCGGCGUGCCUAAUACAUGCAAGUCUAGCGAACGGACGAGAAGCUUGCUUCUCUGAUGUUAGCGGCGGACGGGUGAGUAACACGUGGAUAACCUACCUAUAAGACUGGGAUAACUUCGGGAAACCGGAGCUAAUACCGGAUAAUAUUUUGAACCGCAUGGUUCAAAAGUGAAAGACGGUCUUGCUGUCACUUAUAGAUGGAUCCGCGCUGCAUUAGCUAGUUGGUAAGGUAACGGCUUACCAAGGCAACGAUGCAUAGCCGACCUGAGAGGGUGAUCGGCCACACUGGAACUGAGACACGGUCCAGACUCCUACGGGAGGCAGCAGUAGGGAAUCUUCCGCAGUGGGCGAAAGCCUGACGGAGCAACGCCGCGUGAGUGAUGAAGGUCUUCGGAUCGUAAAACUCUGUUAUUAGGGAAGAACAUAUGUGUAAGUAACUGUGCACAUCUUGACGGUACCUAAUCAGAAAGCCACGGCUAACUACGUG
This 497-nucleotide ribosomal RNA is filed under the name uncultured bacterium. Its description in RNAcentral is "partial 16S ribosomal RNA". It matches the Rfam family "Bacterial small subunit ribosomal RNA", at positions 28 to 507 of the family's 1533-position model. The record is from RNAcentral.